This 284-nucleotide unclassified non-coding RNA is filed under the name Hevea brasiliensis (rubber tree). The record is from RNAcentral. Lineage: Eukaryota; Viridiplantae; Streptophyta; Magnoliopsida; Malpighiales; Euphorbiaceae.
AUUAAUGUGGUAAUUUUCUUCCUUCUCCCAUGUGGUGAGCAAAGAUAGAAACCCUCACUAUGAAAACUUCAUAGCAGAUAAUGGAACUGACUAUCAUACACAAAGAGUUUUGUUCACAUCCACUUCACCUUGAUUAUUUUACACCCAUAGUCCAUUAUCAUCAGGAAUCCCCUUAAGAUUCAAAUUUGAGGUCUACAUGCACCCACACUUUUAAAGGAGCGAGCCAAACAAAAUUGCUUGUAAUAGAUAUAACUUAUGAAAACAACACACAAAUUGUACAACAA